GGUCUGAUGGUCUAGCGGUAUGAUUCUCGCUUAGGGUACACCCUGAAUACUGAAAGCCUUCGGCUUGCGAGAGGUCCCGGGUUCAAUCCCCGGUCAGACCC
This 101-nucleotide transfer RNA is filed under the name Coniochaeta sp. 2T2.1. RNAcentral describes it as "tRNA-Pro". The record is from RNAcentral. Lineage: Eukaryota; Fungi; Ascomycota; Sordariomycetes; Coniochaetales; Coniochaetaceae.